Molecule: non-coding RNA, 21 nt
Organism: Caenorhabditis elegans
Lineage: Eukaryota; Metazoa; Nematoda; Chromadorea; Rhabditida; Rhabditidae
Source: Ensembl
UUGAUAUUCAUUCAUUGGUUC